Molecule: long non-coding RNA, 379 nt
Organism: Octopus sinensis (East Asian common octopus)
Lineage: Eukaryota; Metazoa; Mollusca; Cephalopoda; Octopoda; Octopodidae
Exons: 3
Source: RefSeq, a predicted model, not a curated record
AUCAAAUAGCAGGGCAGAAAAGAUUAAUUGACCUGUUUGACUCAUCUAUCAGUAAAAGGGUCAUUUCUAAACUUAAAUUAACAAAAGAUCCCAUUGUACCUAAAGUUGAUAUAAGUGAAUCUGAACUGGACGUUUUGGUCGAUCAUGCAUUUUUAAAAGUAUUUAAAGGACUGCAAAAAAUACGAAUCGACAACACUAUUAAAUAUAUAGAUAGUUGUGCUUGUAGUGGUGAUACUGACCACAGUGAAGAUCCGGCGAGUAAGGAUCCCACUUUGUCUUCAAAACUCUCAAAUAUGGAGGAAUUUCGUCGAUUAAAGAUGAAGUAUAUAAGGUUUUUAAAUAAUGAUGAUUCUUCCCAGGACUUCGUUGUACAUGAUUU